AUCUACAGGCUUAACACAUGCAAGUCGAGGGGCAGCAUUUUAGUUUGCUUGCAAACUGAAGAUGGCGACCGGCGCACGGGUGAGUAACACGUAUCCAACCUGCCGAUAACUCCGGAAUAGCCUUUCGAAAGAAAGAUUAAUACCGGAUAGCAUACGAAUAUCGCAUGAUAUUUUUAUUAAAGAAUUUCGGUUAUCGAUGGGGAUGCGUUCCAUUAGUUUGUUGGCGGGGUAACGGCCCACCAAGACUACGAUGGAUAGGGGUUCUGAGAGGAAGGUCCCCCACAUUGGAACUGAGACACGGUCCAAACUCCUACGGGAGGCAGCAGUGAGGAAUAUUGGUCAAUGGGCGAGAGCCUGAACCAGCCAAGUAGCGUGAAGGAUGAAGGCUCUAUGGGUCGUAAACUUCUUUUAUAUGGGAAUAAAGUUUUCCACGUGUGGAAUUUUGUAUGUACCAUAUGAAUAAGGAUCGGCUAACUCCGUGCCAGCAGCCGCGGUAAUACGGAGGAUCCGAGCGUUAUCCGGAUUUAUUGGGUUUAAAGGGAGCGUAGGUGGAUUGUUAAGUCAGUUGUGAAAGUUUGCGGCUCAACCGUAAAAUUGCAGUUGAAACUGGCAGUCUUGAGUACAGUAGAGGUGGGCGGAAUUCGUGGUGUAGCGGUGAAAUGCUUAGAUAUCACGAAGAACUCCGAUUGCGAAGGCAGCUCACUAGACUGUCACUGACACUGAUGCUCGAAAGUGUGGGUAUCAAACAGGAUUAGAUACCCUGGUAGUCCACACAGUAAACGAUGAAUACUCGCUGUUUGCGAUAUACAGUAAGCGGCCAAGCGAAAGCAUUAAGUAUUCCACCUGGGGAGUACGCCGGCAACGGUGAAACUCAAAGGAAUUGACGGGGGCCCGCACAAGCGGAGGAACAUGUGGUUUAAUUCGAUGAUGCGCGAGGAACCUUACCCGGGCUUAAAUUGCAACAGAAUAUAUUGGAAACAGUAUAGCCGUAAGGCUGUUGUGAAGGUGCUGCAUGGUUGUCGUCAGCUCGUGCCGUGAGGUGUCGGCUUAAGUGCCAUAACGAGCGCAACCCUUAUCUUUAGUUACUAACAGGUUAUGCUGAGGACUCUAGAGAGACUGCCGUCGUAAGAUGUGAGGAAGGUGGGGAUGACGUCAAAUCAGCACGGCCCUUACGUCCGGGGCUACACACGUGUUACAAUGGGGGGUACAGAAGGCGGCUACCUGGUGACAGGAUGCUAAUCCCAAAAACCUCUCUCAGUUCGGAUCGAAGUCUGCAACCCGACUUCGUGAAGCUGGAUUCGCUAGUAAUCGCGCAUCAGCCAUGGCGCGGUGAAUACGUUCCCGGGCCUUGUACACACCGCCCGUCAAGCCAUGAAAGCCGGGGGUACCUGAAGUACGUAACCGCAAGGAGCGUCCUAGGGUAAAACUGGUAAUUGGGGCUAAGUCG
RNAcentral lists this ribosomal RNA (1447 nucleotides) under uncultured organism. Its description in RNAcentral is "SSU rRNA". It matches the Rfam family "Bacterial small subunit ribosomal RNA". The record is from RNAcentral.